This 433-nucleotide ribosomal RNA is filed under the name uncultured bacterium. Its description in RNAcentral is "partial 16S ribosomal RNA". It matches the Rfam family "Bacterial small subunit ribosomal RNA", at positions 29 to 507 of the family's 1533-position model. The record is from RNAcentral.
AACGAACGCUGGCGGCAUGCCUAACACAUGCAAGUCGAACGAGACCUUCGGGUAUAGUGGCGCACGGGUGCGUAACGCGUGGGAACCUGCCCUUAGGUUCGGAAUAACUCCCCGAAAGGGGUGCUAAUACCGGAUAAUGUCUUCGGACCAAAGAUUUAUCGCCUUUGGAUGGGCCCGCGUUGGAUUAGCUAGUUGGUAGGGUAAAAGCCUACCAAGGCGACGAUCCAUAGCUGGUCUGAGAGGAUGAUCAGCCACACUGGGACUGAGACACGGCCCAGACUCCUACGGGAGGCAGCAGUGGGGAAUAUUGGACAAUGGGCGAAAGCCUGAUCCAGCCAUGCCGCGUGAGUGAUGAAGGCCUUAGGGUUGUAAAGCUCUUUUACCCGGGAUGAUAAUGACAGUACCGGGAGAAUAAGCGCCGGCUAACUCCGUG